CCCUUAGAUGUUCUGGGCCGCACGCGUGCUACACUGAGUGGAUCAGCGGGUCAGGUUGCGCGAAAGUGUUUCCUAAUCUUUAAAUCCGCUCGUGAUGGGGAUUGACGGUUGCAAUUUUCCGUCAUGAACGAGGAAUACCUUGUAAGCGCGGGUCAUCAUCCCGCGCUGAAUACGUUCCUGCCCUUUGUACACACCGCCCGUCGCUCCUACCGAUUGAGUGGUCCGGUGAGGCUUUGGGAUCUGAGCGGAAAGAGCGUUUCGCUGUUUCUGCCCGGAAAACUCAGUCGAACCUUAUCAUUUAGAGGAAGGAGAAGUCGUAACA
This 322-nucleotide ribosomal RNA is filed under the name uncultured eukaryote. RNAcentral's name for it is "partial 18S ribosomal RNA". It matches the Rfam family "Eukaryotic small subunit ribosomal RNA", at positions 1470 to 1796 of the family's 1831-position model. The record is from RNAcentral.